This 305-nucleotide ribosomal RNA is filed under the name uncultured bacterium. RNAcentral describes it as "partial 16S ribosomal RNA". It matches the Rfam family "Bacterial small subunit ribosomal RNA", at positions 338 to 660 of the family's 1533-position model. The record is from RNAcentral.
CCUACGGGGGGCAGCAGUGGGGAAUAUUGCACAAUGGGGGGAACCCUGAUGCAGCGACGCCGCGUGGGUGAAGAAGUCAUUCGUGACGUAAAGCCCUAUCAGCAGGGAAGAAAAUGACGGUACCUGACUAAGAAGCCCCGGCUAACUACGUGCCAGCAGCCGCGGUAAUACGUAGGGGGCAAGCGUUAUCCGGAUUUACUGGGUGUAAAGGGAGCGUAGACGGCGGCGCAAGUCUGAAGUGAAAGGCGGGGGCCCAACCCCCGGACUGCUUUGGAAACUGUGCUGCUGGAGUGCAGGAGAGGCAA